CGGCGUGCCUAACACAUGCAAGUCGAACGGAGUAGAACGCUGAAUUGAAGGUAGCUUGCUACUGGAUUUUCUGUUCUGCUUAGUGGCGGACUGGUGAGUAACACGUAAGCAAUCUGCCUAUCAGAGGGGAACAACAGUUAGAAAUGACUGCUAAUACCGCAUAUGCCUAAGUAACACAUGUUACAAUAGGGAAAGGAGCAAUCCGCUGAUAGAUGAGCUUGCGUCUGAUUAGAUAGUUGGCAGGGUAACGGCCUACCAAGGCGACGAUCAGUAGCCGGCCUGAGAGGGUGAACGGCCACAUUGGGACUGAGACACGGCCCAAACUCCUACGGGAGGCAGCAGUGGGGAAUAUUGCACAAUGGGGGAAACCCUGAUGCAGCGACGCCGCGUGAGCGAUGAAGUAUUUCGGUAUGUAAAGCUCUAUCAGCAGGGAAGAAAAUGACGGUACCUGACUAAGAAGCACCGGCUAAAUACGUG
RNAcentral lists this ribosomal RNA (477 nucleotides) under uncultured bacterium. Its description in RNAcentral is "bacterial SSU rRNA". It matches the Rfam family "Bacterial small subunit ribosomal RNA", at positions 40 to 507 of the family's 1533-position model. The record is from RNAcentral.